This 602-nucleotide ribosomal RNA is filed under the name Pseudomonas brenneri. Its description in RNAcentral is "bacterial SSU rRNA". It matches the Rfam family "Bacterial small subunit ribosomal RNA", at positions 81 to 679 of the family's 1533-position model. Lineage: Bacteria; Pseudomonadati; Pseudomonadota; Gammaproteobacteria; Pseudomonadales; Pseudomonadaceae. The record is from RNAcentral.
UGCUUCUCUUGAGAGCGGCGGACGGGUGAGUAAUGCCUAGGAAUCUGCCUGGUAGUGGGGGAUAACGUCCGGAAACGGACGCUAAUACCGCAUACGUCCUACGGGAGAAAGCAGGGGACCUUCGGGCCUUGCGCUAUCAGAUGAGCCUAGGUCGGAUUAGCUAGUUGGUGGGGUAAUGGCUCACCAAGGCGACGAUCCGUAACUGGUCUGAGAGGAUGAUCAGUCACACUGGAACUGAGACACGGUCCAGACUCCUACGGGAGGCAGCAGUGGGGAAUAUUGGACAAUGGGCGAAAGCCUGAUCCAGCCAUGCCGCGUGUGUGAAGAAGGUCUUCGGAUUGUAAAGCACUUUAAGUUGGGAGGAAGGGCAGUAAAUUAAUACUUUGCUGUUUUGACGUUACCGACAGAAUAAGCACCGGCUAACUCUGUGCCAGCAGCCGCGGUAAUACAGAGGGUGCAAGCGUUAAUCGGAAUUACUGGGCGUAAAGCGCGCGUAGGUGGUUCGUUAAGUUGGAUGUGAAAUCCCCGGGCUCAACCUGGGAACUGCAUUCAAAACUGACGAGCUAGAGUAUGGUAGAGGGUGGUGGAAUUUCCUGUGUAGC